GAGGGCAUAGCUCAGCAGUACACCACAUGAUUAGCAUGCAUGAGGACCUGGGUUCAAUUCCCAGUACCUCCA
This 72-nucleotide transfer RNA is filed under the name Camelus bactrianus (Bactrian camel). It matches the Rfam family "tRNA". Rfam says of the family: Transfer RNA (tRNA) molecules are approximately 80 nucleotides in length. Lineage: Eukaryota; Metazoa; Chordata; Mammalia; Artiodactyla; Camelidae. RNAcentral also lists the same sequence under 2 other names. The record is from Rfam by way of RNAcentral.